GACUCCCUUGAGGGGGGCGAAGCAGGAGCCUGGGUCGAGCUGGUGCGCGAGUCCCGCCUCACCUCAGGAGCUGUUCGCUGCCCCGCCUGUUUGUAGCUGUAGGCGCCCCGUGUAGGCUGUAGCUGUGUUGUCUGUCCUGACCCACACGCCCACGCCCUAGCGGCGGCACAAGCCAGUGAACAGAAAGGAAUCAGCCGCCCAUACAACCCUCACUUCCCCAUCCCAGCCACAUCACACCCACUCACUCCUCACCCCUCCUUCCUCACCUCCCCUCUCCUCACUCCUUCCAAAUAAAGCACCCACUCCACGGCCUCAUAGCGUCACGCCCACUCCUCACUCCACUUGCUUCAGUACUUCUUCCACGUCCUCACUCCCGGAUAAGAUGCAGCCACUCACUCCACACUCCUCAGCACUGACCACUCCACCACUCCACGCCCUCACUCCUCGGCGUGUCAAGGAGCCCAGCGCUCGACCACUCACACUCAUACACGCGUUGCCUCACUCCCCGGCCCUGAACGCAGCCACUCCACACACUCCACUCCUCAUACUCCACUCCGCCACUCCACAUGUCACUCCCCACGUGGCCAGACUAGGCACAGGAGCUCUUAGUGAGGACACAGACAUGUUGAGGUUAAGGGAACGAUAAAUUAAAAAAAAGAUAAUAAAAAGCAUUGUAAACUUUCAUCUGCUUUACUUUCCACGCUGUUAAAGUUUACACGAGAUCAAAUAAUGCAUUCAGCAGCUUAUUUAAAUACCAGUUAUUGCUAUAAAACUUAAUAUAAAAAAGAUCUUCGCUGUACGAGUUGGCUUUAUUUUCUCUCUUUUUUUUUUCUUCUAUAAUAUGCCUUCCCAUUUUUUGUCCUUGGCCAGUGGCACGCUUAUAUGAUGAGUGCUGUGUGAGUGGCGGAAGGAAGGAAGGAAGGAAGGAAGGAAGGGAGUGGUGAUGGUGGUGGUGGUGGUGGUGGUGAGGGUCAAACCAGCAUAUCCCUCACUGGCACUCCCUUGGCACUGAUCCUUUGUGUUCAUUGGCAUUGUCCCUCAGAGUCACUCCACCAAUAGGCAAUCAGAUACUAAGGCCUGGCAUCAGUCCGUCCGUGAUCCCUGCGUCCGUGUCCUUGUCCGUGGCGGUCUGAAACACGCUUGAUCACGUUUUCUUGGAAUUGUCUCAGCUGGGUGAUUGUAAAAGGGGAAGAAAUGGAGGGAGAGAAUUAUAUAUGUGAAGAAGAACAGUGAGGUAAAUUAGGGAAUAGUAAUGAUGGAAGGAAUUGUACAGUGGGGGAAAAAGGUAAAGGGAGGAAGAAUAGGGAAGCAAAGAAGAGAAUGGCAGUGAUAUAAGAACUUGUACAGUGGGGAAAAUAGGGAAAAAGAAGGAAGAAUAGGGAAGUAGAGAAGGGAAUGGCAAUGAUGGAAGGAAUUGUACAGUGGGGGAAAAGGGAAAAGGAAGGAAGAAUAGGGAAGCAAAGAAGAGAAUGGCAAUGAUAUAAGAACUUGUACAGUGGGGAAAAUAGGGAAAAGGAAGGAAGAAUAGGGAAGUAGAGAAGGGAAUGGGAAUGAUAUAAGAACUUGUACAGUGGGGAAAAUAGGUAAAAGGGGGGAAGAAUAGGGAAGUAAGGAAGGGAAUGGGAAUGAUAUAAGAACUUGUACAGUGGGGAAAAUAGGGAAAAGGGGGGAAGAAUAGGGAAGUAGAGAAGGGAAUGGCAAUGAUAUAAGAACUUGUACAGUGGGGAAAAUAGGGGAAAAAAAAGGAAGAAUAGGGAAGUAAAGAAGGGAAUGGGAAUGAUAUAAGAACUUGUACAGUGGGGAAAAAAGGGAAAAAGAAGGAAGAAUAGGGAAGCAAAGAAGAGAAUGUCAAUGAUGUAAGGAAUUGUACAGUGGGGAAAAUAGGGAAAAGGGGGGAAGAAUAGGGAAGCAAAGAAGAGAAUGGCAAUGAUAUAAGAACUUGUACAGUGGGGAAAAUAGGGAAAAGGAAGGAAGAAUAGGGAAGUAAGGAAGGGAAUGGGAAUGAUGGAAGGAAUUGUACAGUGGGGAAAAAGGGAAAAGGAAGGAAGAAUAGGGAAGCAAAGAAGAUAAUGGCAGUGAUAUAAGAACUUGUACAGUGGGGAAAAAGGGAAAGGGAAGGAAGAAUAGGGAAGAUAAUGGGAAUGAUUGAAAAAGAGGUACAAUUAGAAAAAGGAGAGGAAAGAGAGAAUGAAAAGUAAAGGAAAGAAUAGGAAUUAAAAAACAAAGGAAGCAAUUAAGAUUGAAAAAAAAAUGCUGGUACUUCUUAUAUAAUGAAUAACAUGGCGGGGUAAAUUAAUAGGUUAACUAAUAGAGUGGAAAAAAAAAACAGGCAAAAUUGACAGUCAUGUAGUGAGAGCUAAUGAGGUAGAGAGGAGAGGAGAGGAGGUAGGUAGGUAGGAAGGAGGGAAAGGAGAGAGGAAGAGGUAAGGUAAGGUAAGGCAAAGCAGGAAGGGAAGGAGAGGUAAGAUAAGGUAAGGUAAGGAAGGGAAGUAGAGGAAUAACAGAAAAAAGUAAGGUAAAAAGGAAGGGAAGGAGAGGUUAGGUAAGGUAAGGAAAUAGAGGGAUAACAGAAAAGUGAGGUAAGAAGGAAGGGAAGGAGAGGUUAGCUAAGGUAAGGUAAGGAAGGGAAGUAGAGGAAUAACAGAAAAGUAAGGUAAAAAGGAAGGGAAGGAGAGGUUAGCUAAGGUAAGGUAAGGAAGGGAAAUAGAGAAAUAACAGAAAAGUAAGGUAAAAAGGAAGGGAAGGAGAGGUUAGUUAAGGUAAGGUAAGGAAGGGAAGUAGAGAAAUAACAGAAAAGUAAGGUAAAAAGGAAGGGAAGGAGAGGUUAGCUAAGGUAAGGUAAGGAAGGGAAGUAGAGCAAUAACAGAAAACAGUAAGAUAAGAAGGAAGGGAAAAUGAAUCAGGUAAACAACAGGUAGGUUAGACAAAUUCACGCAGACUCACAUUUCACCCGAUUUAGAGGAAUAACAGAAAAAACUAAGAUAAGAAGGAAGGGAAAAAGGUCAGGUAAACAACAGGUGGGUUAGACAAAUUCAAUCAGACUCACCUUUGAUCCGAUUUAGAGGAAUAACAGAAAAAACUAAAGUAAGAAGGAAGGGAAAAAGGUCAGGUAAACAAAAGGUAGGUUAGACAAAUUCACCCAGACUCACCUUUGAUCCGAUUUAGAGGAAUAACAGAAAAAACUAAGAUGAGAAGGAAGGGAAAAAGGUCAGGUAAACAACAGGUGGGUUAGACAAAUUCACGCAGACUCACCUUACACCCGAUUUAGAGGAAUAACAGAAAAAACUAAAGUAAGAAGGAAGGGAAAAGGGUAAGGUAAACAAAAGGUGGGUUAGACAAAUUCACGCAAAGUCACAUUUCAUUCGAUUUUCCACGGACGCAAAUCACGGACAGGUUAAUGAUGCCCGAUCUACCCCUUACCUGUGCACCUAUACCUGGCUCACCUGACUAAUCACUCGGCC
Long non-coding RNA from Eriocheir sinensis (Chinese mitten crab), 3461 nucleotides. RefSeq lists it as uncharacterized. Lineage: Eukaryota; Metazoa; Arthropoda; Malacostraca; Decapoda; Varunidae. The transcript has 3 exons. The record is from RefSeq and is a predicted model, not a curated record.